Molecule: long non-coding RNA, 222 nt
Filed under: Pelobates cultripes (western spadefoot toad)
Lineage: Eukaryota; Metazoa; Chordata; Amphibia; Anura; Pelobatidae
Source: RNAcentral
GUGUUAUUUAUACUGUAAUUGCUUUGUAUCUUUGUAUUUGUGCGUAUAUGAGCUAUUAUAUUGUAUAUGUUCAGGAGUAGUUUGUGGUAUUGUGUAUGAUACAUAUGAAUGAGGGCUGUGUAUGGGGCUGCUUGUGGAAUUGUCUGUGUGGAUGGAUAUGUCACAUUGUGUGUUUGGUAGUGUGUGUAUGUAUGGGGCUGUUUGGGGUAUUGCAUGUGAGAG